CUGACAGUUUCGGAGACUGGAGUAUUAUUUCUCCCAAGAAUGUGAAUUGCACAGCCCUAAUACAGUACAAGUAAUUGCUUCAUCAAUGUUCUUCAAUCCUAACCCUAAGGGACCAUCUGUAAGGGUGAGAGAAUAGUUCAGUCUUCCUACUAAAUGCCUGGCCUCA
This 166-nucleotide small RNA is filed under the name Chelonoidis abingdonii (Abingdon island giant tortoise). RNAcentral describes it as "TUC338 (ENSCABG00000015989.1)". Lineage: Eukaryota; Metazoa; Chordata; Testudines; Testudinidae. The record is from RNAcentral.